GGCUGUCACUUUUUCAGCCGGGUCCUUUCCAAGUUCCUCCCGCCGCCGUCGCCGUCACCGCCGACCUCCUCCGCUCCUCCCUUCGCCGCCGCGCCUCCCUCUCCGUCCUCCUCCUAGACAGGUGCUGCUAUCUGGCACCACUCUCGCCGAUUGGACCCACUUCUAGCGACCCGCCCAGCUCGACAAGUAGGCAAUGAGCACAGCCGUGGAUGCUUCAGUGCCUGUCGCCGAGCAGGAGGAUGGUACUGCGAAUAUCUUGGGUGGGAAGAAAGUUGCAGUUGUAUUUGUUCUAGGUGGUCCUGGAAGUGGAAAAGGUACACAAUGUAGCAAUAUUGUGGAGCAUUUCGGAUUUACACAUCUUAGUGCUGGAGAGCUGUUGCGCUCAGAAAUCAAGUCUGGUUCUGACAAUGGAACCAUGAUUGACAGCAUUAUAAAGGAAGGGAAAAUUGUUCCAUCUGAGAUAACCGUAAAGCUCCUACAAGAAGCUAUGAUAAAAAGUGAAAAUGACAAAUUCCUCAUUGAUGGAUUUCCAAGGAAUCAAGAAAACCGUCUGUCAUUUGAGAAUGUUAUAAAAAUAUCUCCUGAGUUUGUGCUAUUCUUUGACUGUUCUGAGGAAGAGAUGGUAAGGCGUCUUCUGGGUCGCAAUCAGGGAAGAGCUGACGAUAACAUUGAGACUAUCAGGAAAAGAUUCAGAGUUUUUGAAGAAUCAAGUUUGCCUGUAGUUCAGUACUAUGACUCUAAGGGCAAGGUUAAGAAGAUUAAUGCUGCAAAACCAAUCCCUGAGGUGUUUGAAGAUGUGAAAACCAUUUUUCAGCCAUAUGGCCCAAAGGCCGCAUAGAUGCGCUCAUGCGAAAAAUAUGUGGUUCACUAAAACGGCCGCAUAGAUGCGCUCAUGCGAAAAAUAUGUGGUUCACUAAAACGGUGACCCCAGAAGUGCCGAAGGAGCUCACGGCGCGCUACCCUGCCAGCAUGCCACUAGAUAGUCGUUCAUCAUCUGAUUUAUAAGUAUUCCUGAUCUUUAUUAGUGAGUAGAGGGGAACUGGAGCACAUAUCAGUUUACCUGUGUGCCCACCUCGCUGCCGCAACCUACCGUCCCAUUCGGUGCUGUCGUCAAGUUAUGUAGUCUUUAUUAUGGACAUGGUUAAUGAUAUCUUGUCAAGAAAAAAGAUUGCAGUUGAUUAUUCAGCCACAUCACUUGUCGUUUGUAGUUCAGUAGCAAUUCUUGUUGGCCUUCGGGAAAAGAUGAGAAAAGGCUUAAGCCAUAUGCAUUA
RNA transcript from Triticum aestivum (bread wheat), 1271 nucleotides. It is a transcript of the gene named UMP-CMP kinase 4, with no coding region annotated. The record is from RefSeq and is a predicted model, not a curated record. The transcript has 11 exons. NCBI's taxonomy places the organism in Eukaryota, Viridiplantae, Streptophyta, Magnoliopsida, Poales, Poaceae.